CCUCUCAAGUCUCAACCCUGCGUUCCAGUGUUUGUAGAGCAGCCUGCAUGAUAAUGCAGGUGCAGCAAGCACCUUGCUACAGCGCUAGACAGUGAUGGAGGGAAAGAGCGCUUGAGAGAGAUGAGAGGGAGAGGGAGAGGGAGACGCUGAUUUGUGGGGUGGAGGCGAGACAUCGGGUCGACACGAUCACAAGAAGGGAUAAGGCUGAUGCGUCGGCUGGUAGUAUCCUUUCAUUUUAUAAUGUAAUGCGCUUGACGUUCUUUAGGUUUAAUUUUGUGUACAAAUUAAACUAACAUAGACGAUUGAGAUGGAU
This 313-nucleotide long non-coding RNA is filed under the name Hordeum vulgare. RNAcentral's name for it is "long non-coding RNA (HVUL_LNC008242)". Lineage: Eukaryota; Viridiplantae; Streptophyta; Magnoliopsida; Poales; Poaceae. The record is from RNAcentral.